UACGGAGGGGGCUAGCGUUGUUCGGAAUUACUGGGCGUAAAGCGCACGUAGGCGGCUUUGUAAGUUAGAGGUGAAAGCCCGGGGCUCAACUCCGGAACUGCCUUUAAGACUGCAUCGCUUGAAUUGUGGAGAGGUAAGUGGAAUUCCGAGUGUAGAGGUGAAAUUCGUAGAUAUUCGGAAGAACACCAGUGGCGAAGGCGGCUCACUGGCCCGGUACUGACGCUGAGGCGCGAAAGCGUGGGGAGCAAACAGG
RNAcentral lists this ribosomal RNA (253 nucleotides) under uncultured bacterium. RNAcentral's name for it is "partial 16S ribosomal RNA". It matches the Rfam family "Bacterial small subunit ribosomal RNA", at positions 524 to 776 of the family's 1533-position model. The record is from RNAcentral.